Molecule: non-coding RNA, 190 nt
Filed under: Acidobacteriota bacterium
Lineage: Bacteria; Pseudomonadati; Acidobacteriota
Description: Acidobacteria bacterium 6S RNA
Rfam family: 6S / SsrS RNA
About the family: E. coli 6S RNA was the first non coding RNA to be sequenced, but its function was unknown until recently. It consists of 184 nucleotides that fold into an extended hairpin structure with a large single-stranded internal bulge.
Source: RNAcentral
AUCUCCCUGCGGUGUACGUGAUGGUUUGGAGGCUCGUUUGAGCCAUUGCUGUAUCGAAAGAGAGUUGCGACGCUUCGCCGUGUGCAUGCCUCCGCGCGAGGAAGCCUUAGAGGCGGGGUAUUGACCUAGCGGCUCCACCUGCUCAGGCAGGUUCAUACGACCUCCCCACACGGCAGUUCGCGGGGUUCCA